GCAUGCAAGUCGGACGGUAGAAAGGUGCUUGCACCUUUUGAGAGUGGCGGACGGGUGAGUAACACGUAGGUAAUCUACCUAGAAGUUGGGGAUAGCCUGUGGAAACACAGGGUAAUACCGAAUGAGACCAUGUAAAUGGUGAAAGAGGCUAAUGCCUCGCUUUUAGUUGAGCCUGCGGCUCAUUAGCUAGUUGGUGGGGUAACGGCCUACCAAGGCGACGAUGAGUAGCCGGCCUGAGAGGGCGACCGGUCACACUGGGACUGAGACACGGCCCAGACUCCUACGGGAGGCAGCAGCUAAGAAUCUUCCGCAAUGGUCGAAAGGCUGACGGAGCGACGCCGCGUGGACGAAGAAGGCCGGAAUGUUGUAAAGUCCUUUUCUCAGAGAAGAAUAAUGUGGGGAGGGAAUGCCCUACAGAUGACGUUAUCUGAGGAAGAAGCCCCGGCUAAUUACGUGCCAGCAGCCGCGGUAACACGUAAGGGGCAAGCGUUGUUCGGAAUUAUUGGGCGUAAAGGGCGCGUAGGCGGCUGAGCAAGCCUGGUGUGGAAGGCCACAGCUUAACUGUGGAGUGCGCUGGGAACUGCUUGGAUGCAGUUCAGGAGGGGAAUCUGGAAUUCCUGGUGUAGGGCUGAAAUCUGUAGAUAUCAGGAAGAACACCUGUGGCGAAGGCGAGAUUCUGGCCAUGAACUGACGCUGAGGCGCGAAAGCGUGGGGAGCGAACAGGAUUAGAUACCCUGGUAGUCCACGCUGUAAACGAUGUGCACUAGGUGUUGGCUGUUGUAACGGUCAGUGCCGAAGCAAACGCGAUAAGUGCACCGCCUGGGGAGUAUGCUCGCAAGGGUGAAACUCAAAGGAAUUGACGGGGGCCCGCACAAGCGGUGGAGCAUGUGGUUUAAUUCGAUGAUACGCGAGGAACCUUACCAGGGCUUGACAUAUGCAUGACGGUCGUAGAGAUACGGCUUCCCUUCGGGGCGUGCAUACAGGUGCUGCAUGGUUGUCGUCAGCUCGUGCUGUGAGGUGUUGGGUUAAGUCCCGCAACGAGCGCAACCCCUGCUGUCUGUUACCAGCACGUAAUGGUGGGGACUCAGACGGUACUGCCGGUGACAAACCGGAGGAAGGUGGGGAUGACGUCAAAUCAUCAUGGCCCUUAUGUCCUGGGCUACACACGUGCUACAAUGGUAUGUACAAAGGGAAGCGAUCCCGCGAGGAGGAGCUAAUCCCAAAAAGCAUAUCAAAGUUCGGAUCGGAGUCUGCAACUCGACUCCGUGAAGUUGGAAUCGCUAGUAAUCGCGGAUCAGCAUGCUGCGGUGAUACGUUCCCGGGCCUUGUACACACCGCCCGUCACACCAUGAGAGUUGGCUGUACCAGAAGUCGUUGGGCUAACCCGCAAGGGGGGUAGGCGCCUAAGGUAUGGUUGAUGAUUGGGGUGAAGU
This 1433-nucleotide ribosomal RNA is filed under the name uncultured organism. RNAcentral describes it as "bacterial SSU rRNA". It matches the Rfam family "Bacterial small subunit ribosomal RNA". The record is from RNAcentral.